Molecule: non-coding RNA, 163 nt
Organism: Oryza meridionalis
Lineage: Eukaryota; Viridiplantae; Streptophyta; Magnoliopsida; Poales; Poaceae
Source: Rfam
AAAAAGUGUAGUUUUAACUGUUCAUACUUAACAUUUGACCGUUCGUCUUAUUUGAAAAAUAAUUAUGAUUAGUAUUUUUAUUGUUAUUAGAUUUUUUCAUAAAAUUUUCAAAUAAGACGGACGGUCAAAACGCUGGACACGGAUAUCUAUGGCUGCACUUAUU